AUGGCGCUGCUCGCGACACAUCCUGGCGUUGGGCGGCCGCGCCGGCUGCUUUCGAAAAGCGCCGCACUCCGCGAUUCUGGUCAGGCCUCUAGUCUCUGUCUGCCGCUCAGGCCCGCAAUGGAGAUUACAUCAGCUCGGCGCCUCGGGAACCGCUCGAAUCUGCCAGAUCCCAGAGUCAUUAAGAAAUACUGCAUGGCAGAGAGUGAGAAAAUGCAAUUCAAGACAAUUAUUAGAUGCUACAAAGGCUCUCCAGGCAUGGCCACUGGGAGAAAAGAGGACAUGUUGGCAUGGUCACGCAGGAGGAGGGCUCCACACAGACCCGAAAGAAGGGUUAAAAGAUGUUGAUACUCGGAAAAUCAUAAAAGCAAUGCUUUCUUAUGUGUGGCCCAAAGACAGGCCAGAUCUAAGAGCAAGAGUUGCCAUUUCCUUGGGAUUUUUGGGUGGUGCAAAGGCCAUGAAUAUUGUGGUCCCCUUCAUGUUUAAAUAUGCUGUAGACAGCCUCAACCAGAUGUCGGGAAACAUGCUGAACCUGAGUGAUGCACCAGAUACAGUUGCAACCAUGGCAACAGCAGUUCUGAUUGGCUAUGGUGUAUCAAGAGCUGGAGCUGCCUUUUUUAACGAAGUUCGAAAUGCAGUAUUUGGCAAGGUAGCCCAAAAUUCAAUCCGAAGAAUAGCCAAAAAUGUCUUUCUCCAUCUUCACAACCUGGAUCUGGGUUUCCACCUGAGCAGACAGACAGGAGCUUUAUCUAAAGCUAUUGACAGAGGAACAAGGGGUAUCAGUUUUGUCCUGAGUGCUUUGGUAUUUAAUCUUCUUCCCAUCAUGUUUGAGGUGAUGCUUGUCAGCAGUGUUUUGUAUUACAAAUGUGGUGCCCAGUUUGCUUUGGUAGCCCUCACAGCCCUUGGUGCAUACACAGCCUUUACAAUUGCAGUCACACGGUGGAGAACUAGAUUUAGAAUAGAGAUGAACAAAGCGGAUAAUGAUGCAGGUAAUGCUGAUAUAGACUCACUGCUGAAUCAUGAAACUGUGAAGUAUUUUAAUAAUGAAAAAUAUGAAGCACAGAGAUAUGAUGGAUUUUUGAAGACAUAUGAGACUGCUUCAUUGAAAAGUACCUCCACUCUGGCUAUGCUGAACUUUGGUCAAAAUGCUAUUUUCAGUGUCGGUUUAACGGCUAUAAUGGUGCUUGCCAGUCAGGGAACUGUGGCAGGUACCCUUACCGUUGGAGAUCUAGUAAUGGUGAAUGGACUGCUUUUUCAGCUUUCAUUACCCCUUAACUUUCUGGGAACUGUAUAUAGAGAGACUAGACAAGCACUAAUAGAUAUGAACACCUUAUUCACUCUACUCAAGGUAGACCCCCGAAUUAAAGACAAAGUAAUGCCACCUUCCCUUCAGAUCACACCACAGACAGCUACGGUGGCCUUUGAUAAUGUGCAUUUUGAGUACAUUGAGGGGCAGAAAGUUCUUAGUGGAAUAUCAUUUGAAGUCCCUGCAGGAAAGAAAGUGGCCAUUGUAGGAGGUAGUGGGUCAGGGAAAAGCACAAUAGUAAGGCUGAUGUUUCGCUUCUAUGAGCCUCAAAAAGGUAGCAUUUACCUUGCUGGUCAAAAUAUACAAGAUGUGAGCCUGGAAAGCCUUCGGAGGGCAGUGGGAGUGGUACCUCAGGAUGCUGUCCUCUUCCAUAAUACUAUUUACUACAACCUCUUAUAUGGAAACAUCAGUGCUUCACUGAGGAAGUAUAUGCAGUGGCAAAAUUAGCUGGACUUCAUGAUGCAAUUCUUCGAAUGCCACGUGGAUAUGACACCCAAGUUGGUGAACGAGGACUCAAGCUUUCAGGAGGAGAAAAACAAAGAGUAGCAAUUGCAAGAGCUAUUUUGAAGGACCCUCCAGUCAUACUCUAUGAUGAAGACACUUCAUCAUUAGAUUCAAUUACUGAAGAGACCAUUCUUAGUGCCACGAGGGAUGUGGUCAAAUACAGAACUUUUAUUUUCAUUGCACACAGAUUGUCAACAGUGGUUGAUGCAUAUGAAAUCAUUGUCUUGGACCAGGGUAAGGUAGCUGAACGUGGUACCCACCAUGGCUUGCUUGCUAACCCUGGCAGUAUCUAUUCAGAAAUGUGGCAUACACAGGGUAGCCAUGUGCAGAACCAUGAUAACCCCAAAUGGGUUGCAAAGAAAGAAAAUAUGUCCAAAGAGGAGGAAAGAAAGAAACUACAAGAAGAAAUUAUCAACAGUGUGAAAGGCUGUGGAAACUGUUCCUGCUAAGUCACAUGAGAUGUUUUUUGUUUUUUUUUCCUUUUCUUUUUUGUUUUGGACUAUACAUUUGCACUGAAGCAUAAUUGUUUAUUAAAAAAAAUCAUACAUUCCCAUUUUCUACAAUCCUUCUUUUAGAUGAGAUUUACUUAAGAGGGGAUUUGAGUUUUACAUCUUUCAUAAGCUAUUUAAUGUGGUCUCUGUAUUUAUCCCCAGAUUA
This is a non-coding RNA of Microcebus murinus (gray mouse lemur), 2464 nucleotides long. The record is from RefSeq and is a predicted model, not a curated record. NCBI's taxonomy places the organism in Eukaryota, Metazoa, Chordata, Mammalia, Primates, Cheirogaleidae.